This 407-nucleotide ribosomal RNA is filed under the name uncultured bacterium. RNAcentral's name for it is "partial 16S ribosomal RNA". It matches the Rfam family "Bacterial small subunit ribosomal RNA", at positions 30 to 526 of the family's 1533-position model. The record is from RNAcentral.
AUUGAACGCUGGCGGCAGGCCUAACACAUGCAAGUCGAGCGGAGCGGCGGACGGGGGAGGAAUGCCUAGGAAUCUGAAUGGUAGUGGGGGAUAAAGAUCGGAAACGGGCGCUAAUACUGAAAACUAUCAGCUGAGCCUAGGGCGGAUUAGCUAGUUGGUGGGGUAAAGGCCUACCAAGGCGACGAUCCGUAACUGGUCUGAGAGGAUGAUCAGUCACACUGGAACUUAGACACGGUCCAGACUCCUACGGGAGGCAGCAGUGGGGAAUAUUGGACAAUGGGCGAAAGCCUGAUCCAGCCAUGCCGCGUGUAUGAAGAAGGUCUUCGGAUUGUAAAGCACUUUAAGUUGGGAGGCGUUACCAACAGAAUAAGCACCGGCUAACUUCGUGCCAGCCGCCGCGGUAAUAC